This 472-nucleotide ribosomal RNA is filed under the name uncultured bacterium. RNAcentral describes it as "bacterial SSU rRNA". It matches the Rfam family "Bacterial small subunit ribosomal RNA", at positions 355 to 825 of the family's 1533-position model. The record is from RNAcentral.
UGGGGAAUUUUGGACAAUGGGCGCAAGCCUGAUCCAGCCAUGCCGCGUGCGGGAAGAAGGCCUUCGGGUUGUAAACCGCUUUUGUCAGGGAAGAAACGCUCUGGGCUAAUACCCUGGGGUAAUGACGGUACCUGAAGAAUAAGCACCGGCUAACUACGUGCCAGCAGCCGCGGUAAUACGUAGGGUGCAAGCGUUAAUCGGAAUUACUGGGCGUAAAGCGUGCGCAGGCGGUUAUGCAAGACAGAUGUGAAAUCCCCGGGCUCAACCUGGGAACUGCAUUUGUGACUGUAUAGCUAGAGUACGGUAGAGGGGGAUGGAAUUCCGCGUGUAGCAGUGAAAUGCGUAGAUAUGCGGAGGAACACCGAUGGCGUAGGCAGGUUACUGGAUCAUUACUGACACUGAGGCACGAAAGCGUGGGGAGCAAACGGGAUUAGAUACCCCCGUAGUCCCUGAGCGGGCUGGCAAGGCGCAU